This 251-nucleotide long non-coding RNA is filed under the name Coturnix japonica (Japanese quail). RNAcentral describes it as "lncRNA (ENSCJPG00005003800.1)". The record is from RNAcentral. Lineage: Eukaryota; Metazoa; Chordata; Aves; Galliformes; Phasianidae.
GUCAAAGAAGUAAAACUUGCAAAAAUCACUUCACAACGUUUCUAUUCUCAGAUAGGAAGAAAUUCUACCUUCUAAAGAUAUACAUUUGAAUACACAUAAAUUGCCCUGCCUGGGAAUUUUGAGCUGUCAGUACCGAGCGCCUCACCUCUUCAUUCUUCUCCUGCUCCUGGUCACUGGGUAGUUCAUGAGCUCCCCAGACGUGAUCUUGCAAAUAACCUACUGUCUGCUCUAAAUAAAGUAUUCAGACCAGG